RNAcentral lists this ribosomal RNA (448 nucleotides) under uncultured bacterium. RNAcentral's name for it is "partial 16S ribosomal RNA". It matches the Rfam family "Bacterial small subunit ribosomal RNA", at positions 330 to 794 of the family's 1533-position model. The record is from RNAcentral.
CCCAGACUCCUACGGGAGGCAGCAGUGGGGGAUAUUGCACAAUGGGGGGAACCCUGAUGCAGCGACGCCGCGUGGGUGAAGGAGCGUUUCGGCGCGUAAAGCCCUAUCGGCAGGGAAGAAGGAGGACGGUACCUGACUAAGAAGCCCCGGCUAACUACGUGCCAGCAGCCGCGGUAAUACGUAGGGGGCAAGCGUUAUCCGGAUUUACUGGGUGUAAAGGGGGCGCAGACGGCAGCGCAAGCCAGGAGUGAAAGCCCGGGGCCCAACCCCGGGACUGCUCUUGGAACUGCGCGGCUGGAGUGCAGGAGGGGCAGGCGGAAUUCCUGGUGUAGCGGUGAAAUGCGUAGAUAUCAGGAGGAACACCGGUGGCGAAGGCGGCCUGCUGGACUGCGACUGACGUUGAGGCCCGAAAGCGUGGGGAGCAAACAGGAUUAGAUACCCCAGUAUU